This 301-nucleotide ribosomal RNA is filed under the name uncultured bacterium. Its description in RNAcentral is "partial 16S ribosomal RNA". It matches the Rfam family "Bacterial small subunit ribosomal RNA", at positions 509 to 807 of the family's 1533-position model. The record is from RNAcentral.
CAGUCGCCACGGUAAUACGAACCGUGCGAGCGUUAUUCGGAAUCACUGGGCUUAAAGCGCGUGUAGGCGGGCCGCCACGUCGGCUGCUGAAAUCCCCCGGCUCAACCGGGGAACGGGCACCGAUACGAGCGGCCUGGAGGGGGGUAGGGGGGACUGGAACUUCCGGUGGAGCGGUGAAAUGCGUUGAGAUCGGAAGGAACGCCCGUGGCGAAAGCGAGUCCCUGGACCCUUUCUGACGCUGAGACGCGAAAGCCAGGGGAGCGAACGGGAUUAGAUACCCCUGUAGUCCCUGUCUCUUAUA